CACGAAGUUAGCCGGGGCUUCUUCUACGGUUACCGUCAUUAUCUUCACCGUUGAAAGAGCUUUACAACCCUAGGGCCUUCAUCACUCACGCGGCAUGGCUGGAUCAGGCUUUCGCCCAUUGUCCAAUAUUCCCCACUGCUGCCUCCCGUAGGAGUUUGGGCCGUGUCUCAGUCCCAAUGUGGCUGAUCAUCCUCUCAGACCAGCUAUGAAUCGUCGCCUUGGUAGGCCAUUACCCCACCAACUAGCUAAUCCAACGCGGGCUCAUCCAUCUCCGAUAAAUCUUUCUCCCGAAGGACGUAUACGGUAUUAGUCCAAGUUUCCCUGGGUUAUUCCGUAGAGAUGGGUAGAUUCCCACGCGUUACUCACCCGUCUGCCGCUCCCCUUGCGGGCGCUCGACUUGCAUGUGUUAAGCCUGCCGCCAGCGUUCGUUCUGAGCCAGGAUCAAACUCU
RNAcentral lists this ribosomal RNA (450 nucleotides) under uncultured Mesorhizobium sp. RNAcentral's name for it is "partial 16S ribosomal RNA". Lineage: Bacteria; Pseudomonadati; Pseudomonadota; Alphaproteobacteria; Hyphomicrobiales; Phyllobacteriaceae. The record is from RNAcentral.